UGGAGAGUAAACUAAUAAAGUUAUUGGGCUCAUGUCCCGAGUAUAGGGUUAAACCCUCCUCCUU
This 64-nucleotide transfer RNA is filed under the name Nototeredo knoxi. RNAcentral describes it as "tRNA-Met". The record is from RNAcentral. Lineage: Eukaryota; Metazoa; Mollusca; Bivalvia; Myida; Teredinidae.